This 161-nucleotide small nuclear RNA is filed under the name Zea mays. Its description in RNAcentral is "U2 spliceosomal RNA". It matches the Rfam family "U2 spliceosomal RNA". From Rfam's summary of the family: U2 is a small nuclear RNA (snRNA) component of the spliceosome (involved in pre-mRNA splicing). The record is from Rfam by way of RNAcentral. Lineage: Eukaryota; Viridiplantae; Streptophyta; Magnoliopsida; Poales; Poaceae.
AUACUUUUCUCGGCCUUUUGGCUAAUAUUAAGUGUAGUAUUUCUUCGUAUCAAUUUAAUAUAUGAUAUGUGGACUAUAUGUUCACUUUAAUAUUAAAUUUAUUUAUUAUAGGUAUGAAAUAUAAUUACGUGCCAUCGUAACGCACGGGUACUGUACUAGUA